UUAAAUAUUUGGCAUACUCUCCGAAAGGUGAGGACGCAAAGCUAUAGGGUCUAAAUAAUUUUAUUAUAUGACAGCCAGUUGCGAAU
This 86-nucleotide non-coding RNA is filed under the name Acetobacterium bakii. RNAcentral's name for it is "c-di-GMP sequence". It matches the Rfam family "c-di-GMP-I riboswitch aptamer". From Rfam's summary of the family: GEMM was predicted in a large-scale screen for bacterial structured RNA regulatory elements. Genes associated with GEMM are involved in a diverse array of functions, including chemotaxis regulation, signal transduction, secretion and chitin. Lineage: Bacteria; Bacillati; Bacillota; Clostridia; Eubacteriales; Eubacteriaceae. The record is from Rfam by way of RNAcentral.